CCAGUCGGCCGGGCGGCCGCUCCGGGUCUCGAAAGAGGCGCGGGGAGGAAAGUCCGGGCUCCACGGAAAGACGGUGCCGGAUAACGCCCGGCGAGGGCGACCUCAGGGACAGUGCCACAGAAAACAGACCGCCUCGGUCCGGACGGCGUUCGCGUCGUCCCGUCCGCAAGGGUGGAAGCGGUGGCCGCAAGGGCAUCGGUUCGAUCGAGGUCAGGGUGAAAAGGUGGGGUAAGAGCCCACCGCGGACCCGGCAACGGGGACGGCACGGCAAACCCCACCGGGAGCAAGACCGAAUAGGGGCGGCGCGGGCUCGAAAGAGUUCCGGUCUUUUCCGGACCAGUCGCCCGGGUUGGUUGCGCGAGGCGUCCAGCAAUGGGCGUCCCAGACGAAUGGCCGCCACGUGGGGGAAACCCCGCCAUACAGAACCCGGCUUACAGGCCGACUGGCCCU
RNAcentral lists this RNase P RNA (450 nucleotides) under Siculibacillus lacustris. Its description in RNAcentral is "Bacterial RNase P class A". It matches the Rfam family "Bacterial RNase P class A". From Rfam's summary of the family: Ribonuclease P (RNase P) is a ubiquitous endoribonuclease, found in archaea, bacteria and eukarya as well as chloroplasts and mitochondria. The record is from Rfam by way of RNAcentral. Lineage: Bacteria; Pseudomonadati; Pseudomonadota; Alphaproteobacteria; Hyphomicrobiales; Ancalomicrobiaceae.